AUUGAACGCUGGCGGCAUGCUUUACACAUGCAAGUCGAACGGUAACAGGCCGCAAGGUGCUGACGAGUGGCGAACGGGUGCGUAAUGUAUCGGAACGUGCCCAGUCGUGGGGGAUAACUACUCGAAAGAGUAGCUAAUACCGCAUACGGUCUAUGGAUGAAAGCGGGGGACCGUAAGGCCUCGCGCGAUUGGAGCGGCCGAUGUCAGAUUAGGUAGUUGGUGGGGUAAAGGCUCACCAAGCCAACGAUCUGUAGCUGGUCUGAGAGGACGACCAGCCACACUGGGACUGAGACACGGCCCAGACUCCUACGGGAGGCAGCAGUGGGGAAUUUUGGACAAUGGGCGCAAGCCUGAUCCAGCAAUGCCGCGUGCAGGAAGAAGGCCUUCGGGUUGUAAACUGCUUUUGUACGGAACGAAACGGCUCUGGUUAAUACCCGGGGCUAAUGACGGUACCGUAAGAAUAAGCACCGGCUAACUACGUG
RNAcentral lists this ribosomal RNA (482 nucleotides) under uncultured bacterium. RNAcentral describes it as "partial 16S ribosomal RNA". It matches the Rfam family "Bacterial small subunit ribosomal RNA", at positions 30 to 507 of the family's 1533-position model. The record is from RNAcentral.